RNAcentral lists this ribosomal RNA (1012 nucleotides) under Drosophila hexastigma. RNAcentral describes it as "eukaryotic LSU rRNA". It matches the Rfam family "Eukaryotic large subunit ribosomal RNA", at positions 1 to 832 of the family's 3401-position model. The record is from RNAcentral. Lineage: Eukaryota; Metazoa; Arthropoda; Insecta; Diptera; Drosophilidae.
UUAUACAACCUCAACUCAUAUGGGACUACCCCCUGAAUUUAAGCAUAUUAAUUAGGGGAGGAAAAGAAACUAACAAGGAUUUUCUUAGUAGCGGCGAGCGAAAAGAAAUCAGUUCAGCACUAAGUCACUUUGUCUAUAUGGCAAAUGUGAGAUGCAGUGUAUGGAACAUCAAUAUUCUAGUAUGAGAAAUUAACGAUUUAAGUCCUUCUUAAAUGAGGCCAUUUACCCAUAGAGGGUGCCAGGCCCGUAUAACGUUAAUGAUUACUAGAUGGUGUUUCCAAAGAGUCGUGUUGCUUGAUAGUGCAGCACUAAGUGGGUGGUAAACUCCAUCUAAAACUAAAUAUAACCAUGAGACCGAUAGUAAACAAGUACCGUGAGGGAAAGUUGAAAAGAACUCUGAAUAGAGAGUUAAAUAGUACGUGAAACUGCUUAGAGGUUAAGCCCGAUGAACCUGAAUAUCCGUUAUGGAAAAUUCAUCAUUAGAAUUAUAAUAUUUAAACAAUAUUAUAAUAAUAGUGUGCAUUUUUUCCAUAUAAGGACAUUGUAAUCUAUUAGCAUAUUAAUUUAUCAUACAAUUAUGUCAUAUUGUUUAUUUCAAUUAGAAUGCUUGCGUUUUAACAUGAAAUAAAAGUUGUAAAUUUGAUAAAGUGCUGAUAGAUUUAUAAAAAUACAGUGCGUUAAUUUUUCGGAAUUAUAUAAUGGCAUGAUUAUCAUUGAUUUUUGUGUUUAUUAUAUGCACUUGUAUGAUUAACAAUGCGAAAGAUUCAGGAUACCUUCGGGACCCGUCUUGAUUAUCGACCAAGGAUCUAACAUAUGUGCAAGUUWUUGGGAUUUAAACCUAAUAGCGUAAUUAACUUGACUAUUAGUGGGAUUAGUUUGUUAACUAUUUAUAGUUGAUUAACACAAUCCCGGGGCGUUCUAUAUAGUUAUGUAUAAUGGUAUUUAUAUUAUUUAUGCCUCUAACUAGAACGUACCUUGAGCAUAUAUGCUGUGACCCGAAAGAUGGUGAACU